GGUGGAGUGGCUCAAGUGGUAGAGUAUCUGCCUAGCAAGCACAAGGCCCUGAGUUCACAUCCCUGUGCCACAA
RNAcentral lists this transfer RNA (73 nucleotides) under Dipodomys ordii (Ord's kangaroo rat). It matches the Rfam family "tRNA". From Rfam's summary of the family: Transfer RNA (tRNA) molecules are approximately 80 nucleotides in length. Their secondary structure includes four short double-helical elements and three loops (D, anti-codon, and T loops). The record is from Rfam by way of RNAcentral. Lineage: Eukaryota; Metazoa; Chordata; Mammalia; Rodentia; Heteromyidae.